CUGCAGGAUGCCCUGUCCUUGUGCCGGCCGGCCCACCGGGCCCCUCCUGCUGUCCAAGACGGUGGAGACAUGAAACGCCACAGGCAUCCCUGCCACCUGCCGCAGGUCCGCGUCUCCAUACAUGAUGCCCUGUCCUGGGGUGUGCGGCUGCCCCUGCAGAAGUCACACCCCGCGUGACCCGGCUUGUCCUUUCCCUGCUAGGCAGCCAAAGCUGUGUCGAAGGCCUGUGGCACAGCUCAGCACCCUCAGAUCCGGUGGCUCUGUGUCCUGCUGGCACCUGCUGUGGAGAGCAGGGUUUGCUGAGGGGGGAGGUGGCUGCCUACGUAAAGUGUCCAGCAUGAGCUUGGGAAUGUCCACCCGACUGUCCUCUUGGGGGCCAGAGGGUCAGUACAUUGCUGCUGCAGCCUGACCACAGCCUCAACCUCCCCCAGGUCCAGGCGUCCCAGGUCCCGGGAGCCGAGUGGGGCCAAGGUCCCCAGCUGUGCACGGAACACGAAUUUCUGUUGGCCUGAGGAGCUCCUGCAGGAAACCGUGGGACAAGCCUGGUUCAGCGUGAAUUCUGGGUGCGUUUCUGCAUGCUGAGUCGUGCCUCACACACACCAAAGCACCAUGCCUCAAAAUUUCUGAAUCUGGAAGACUCAACACAGCAAGGGAGUGGGAUGAGUGGGCCGGGUGUCAUUCUCGGGGGCAGAGGCAGGAGUCUUUGGAGGCCAGGGAGGGGAAAGCCGGUUGUGACUCUGUCCCCCCAGGCCUCCUGCCAGCCCCCAGCCCUCCUGGGAUGCCACCUGCAGCCCUGCAGACAAGUGCCUUGAAAAUCCCAAACCAGAGGCAGCCAAGUGUGAAACCAGCCCCCGGAGAUGGAAAAGAGGACAGGCCCCGCUCCCGUUUUAUCCAAUGCCAAAGGGGAGAUCGCUUGACGUUUGAGGAAACAGCGUGUGCGACUUCCACGCCGCUCCUGGGAAGGCACUCACGCGUUCGUCCAUGACGAGGCUCUGUUAGGGAGGGGGAGGCUGGAGGGGCCCAGAGAACAGCAGGGUCCCCCAGCCAAGGUCCUGGCGGGGCUGAGUGGGGCCGGGGCGAGGUGGGCCGGGCGGGGAGCAGGCGGGCAGAGUGAGCCAGCUGGGCUGUGGUGCUAAUCCCAGAUAAUUACCCUUUGGACACUCGGAGCCAUCUCCCUUUUCUUUGCACUUAGCACGGUCUGAAUGACCCUGAGAGCACCUUGGUCUUCCGAGGUCCCGCACACAUCCGGGCCCUGGGAAAGCCGGGCCUCAGUGGUCGGUCAGGAAACCUGAUCAGGCCCUAAUCGUCUGGUGGGGAUUAGCCGGCCCGGCGGCCCCUUCUCCAGGUGAGGGCUCCCACAACCCUGCCAGGGCCACCCUUCUGGGGGCAGGGCUGCCUUUGAGCCCGGAUUAGUUGAGGUAAAGGGAUUCAUCUUGGGGCCUUCAAAGCCUUCAGGUCUCCCCGUGCCUCCUCCAGCACAGAGCGAAGGCCCUGGAUACCCCCCAUGUCUCAUGUCUGGGUGGACAGACCCUGGAAGGGGUGUGGGAGGAGUCAGUACGAUGGAGGAUACAAAGUCUGGCCUGAGCUGCUGCCACUGAACCCGGGAUCACGUUGUUCAUCGAACCCUAGAUAAGGGGCGGCUCCCCUCCCUCGCCCCACGCGUGGUGCAGAGCAGGGCCUGGCGGUGUCUCCUUCUGACUCUCCAGGGGCUUCCACAGCCCUUCUUCCCACCUAGCGCCUCCCUCGCCCUUCCUGUUCCAGCCACAGGUGCUGUCCUCUGCCUGCCUCCCUGGCCGAAGCCUUUUCCCCAGGUGGGAGCUUCCUCCCUCCAUCCCCACAGCUGCCGGUGCUGCAGGUAGCAGCUCCAGGGUCCCCUCCCAACAGGGGACUCCCCCACCCCCACUGCUGUCCCCACCACUCACCACUCCUGUAUCCUAUUUUACUUUUGUAAAAUGACUGCUGCCUUCUCCUGAGAUCCUAGUAACCUGGUUGGUAUUGUUUUUGUCACUUGCCUAUCUACCUACCAUGUAUUCAUCUUCCCCACCUAGGCUGUGAGUGCCAGAAGGGCAGGGGCAUUUCUGGUCUCAUCCUCUCUAUGCUUCCAGCACAGAAGCAUAUGAUGAAUAUUUGUUUCAUGAAUGGGUGGGUGGAUGGAUGGGUGAAUGGAUAGAUGGAUGGGUGGAUAGGUG
RNAcentral lists this long non-coding RNA (2189 nucleotides) under Homo sapiens (human). RNAcentral describes it as "HSALNT0117578". The record is from RNAcentral. Lineage: Eukaryota; Metazoa; Chordata; Mammalia; Primates; Hominidae.